Molecule: long non-coding RNA, 452 nt
Organism: Tupaia belangeri chinensis (Chinese tree shrew)
Lineage: Eukaryota; Metazoa; Chordata; Mammalia; Scandentia; Tupaiidae
Exons: 3
Source: RefSeq, a predicted model, not a curated record
CACAGCGCUCUCGAGUUCACAGCUCUUACCGAGAAACGGCACUGCUGGAGCGUCUGGGAUGAAUCAAUACGGAAGACAGAGAGGACAGACCACCUGACUCCACUACCAGCAGUGAGUGCACGUGCCCUAAAACAAACAAACAGAAGAGUGCCCUGAGAGGCAUGAGCCCAAUGUGCUUCUCGAAGCAGUGUUUGGUUCCCAGAUGUCACGUACUACGCUACUCCACAGUGCCCCUGAUGCCUCUCUCUUUGGAAAGCAUCUGAAAUGAGGACUCCUGUCACAAAGCCAGCCCUCCCUGGUCAGCCUGGGUCCCAAUCAGACGUCCCUCUGGGGAGGGAGAAAGAAGGAAAGAGGCGACACGGAGGUGGCAUCUCUGCUUGGGCCUGGUCAAGGCGCGGGGCUUCCGGAAUCCCAGCCCACAUGGGCGUCCAACUGGAUUCUCAGGUGUCACU